Molecule: ribosomal RNA, 413 nt
Filed under: uncultured bacterium
Lineage: Bacteria
Description: bacterial SSU rRNA
Rfam family: Bacterial small subunit ribosomal RNA
Source: RNAcentral
GUGUCAGCCGCCGCGGUAAUACGUAUGUCCCGAGCGUUAUCCGGAUUUAUUGGGCGUAAAGCGAGCGCAGGCGGUUUUUUAAGUCUGAUGUGAAAGCCUUCGGCUCAACCGAAGAAGUGCAUCGGAAACUGGGAAACUUGAGUGCAGAAGAGGACAGUGGAACUCCAUGUGUAGCGGUGAAAUGCGUAGAUAUAUGGAAGAACACCAGUGGCGAAGGCGGCUGUCUGGUCUGUAACUGACACUGAGGCUCGAAAGCGUGGGGAGCAAACAGGAUUAGAUACCCUGGUAGUCCACGCCGUAAACGAUGAGUGCUAAGUGUUGGAGGGUUUCCGCCCUUCAGUGCUGCAGCUAACGCAUUAAGCACUCCGCCUGGGGAGUACGGCCGCAAGGCUGAAACUCAAAUAAAUUGGCGG